CCUACGGGCGGCAGCAGUGGGGAAUAUUGGACAAUGGGGGGAACCCUGAUCCAGCCAUGCCGCGUGUGUGAAGAAGGCCCUCGGGUUGUAAAGCACUUCCAGUGAGGAAGAACGCCUGGUGGUUAAUACCCAUCAGGAAAGACAUCACUCACAGAAGAAGCACCGGCUAACUCCGUGCCAGCAGCCGCGGUAAUACGGAGGGUGCGAGCGUUAAUCGGAAUUACUGGGCGUAAAGCGCGCGUAGGUGGCUUGAUAAGCCGGUUGUGAAAGCCCCGGGCUCAACCUGGGAACGGCAUCCGGAACUGUCAAGCUGGAGUGCAGGAGAGGAAGGUAGAAUUCCCGGUGUAGCGGUGAAAUGCGUAGAGAUCGGGAGGAAUACCAGUGGCGAAGGCGGCCUUCUGGACUGACACUGACACUGAGGUGCGAAAGCGUGGGUAGCAAACAGGAUUAGAUACCCUAGUAGUC
RNAcentral lists this ribosomal RNA (465 nucleotides) under Vreelandella stevensii. RNAcentral's name for it is "partial 16S ribosomal RNA". It matches the Rfam family "Bacterial small subunit ribosomal RNA", at positions 338 to 795 of the family's 1533-position model. Lineage: Bacteria; Pseudomonadati; Pseudomonadota; Gammaproteobacteria; Oceanospirillales; Halomonadaceae. The record is from RNAcentral.